Molecule: ribosomal RNA, 253 nt
Filed under: uncultured bacterium
Lineage: Bacteria
Description: partial 16S ribosomal RNA
Rfam family: Bacterial small subunit ribosomal RNA
Source: RNAcentral
UACGGGGGGGGCAAGCGUUGUUCGGAAUUACUGGGCGUAAAGGGCGCGUAGGCGGCCCUCUAAGUCAGACGUGAAAUCCCACGGCUUAACCGUGGAACUGCGUCUGAUACUGGAGGGCUUGAAUCCGGGAGAGGGAUGUGGAAUUCCAGGUGUAGCGGUGAAAUGCGUAGAUACCUUGAAGAACUCCGAUUGCGAAGGCAGCCCACUGGACUUCUACCGACGCUGAGGCACGAAAGCGUGGGGAUCAAACAGG